This 550-nucleotide ribosomal RNA is filed under the name uncultured bacterium. RNAcentral's name for it is "bacterial SSU rRNA". It matches the Rfam family "Bacterial small subunit ribosomal RNA", at positions 355 to 896 of the family's 1533-position model. The record is from RNAcentral.
UAGGGAAUCUUCCGCAAUGGGCGAAAGCCUGACGGAGCAACGCCGCGUGAGUGAUGAAGGUCUUCGGAUCGUAAAACUCUGUUAUUAGGGAAGAACAUAUGUGUAAGUAACUGUGCACAUCUUGACGGUACCUAAUCAGAAAGCCACGGCUAACUACGUGCCAGCAGCCGCGGUAAUACGUAGGUGGCAAGCGUUAUCCGGAAUUAUUGGGCGUAAAGCGCGCGUAGGCGGUUUUUUAAGUCUGAUGUGAAAGCCCACGGCUCAACCGUGGAGGGUCAUUGGAAACUGGAAAACUUGAGUGCAGAAGAGGAAAGUGGAAUUCCAUGUGUAGCGGUGAAAUGCGCAGAAAUAUGGAGGAACACCAGUGGCGAAGGCGACUUUCUGGUCUGUAACUGACGCUGAUGUGCGAAAGCGUGGGGAUCAAACAGGAUUAGAUACCCUGGUAGUCCACGCCGUAAACGAUGAGUGCUAAGUGUUAGGGGGUUUCCGCCCCUUAGUGCUGCAGCUAACGCAUUAAGCACUCCGCCUGGGGAGUACGACCGCAAGGUUG